AUUGAACGCUGGCGGCAUGCUUUACACAUGCAAGUCGAACGGUAACAGGCCUUCGGGUGCUGACGAGUGGCGAACGGGUGAGUAAUGCAUCGGAACGUGCCCAGAGGUGGGGGAUAACGCAGCGAAAGCUGUGCUAAUACCGCAUGUGAUCUGAGGAUGAAAGCGGGGGACCAAGCAGCAAUGUUUGGCCUCGCGCCUCUGGAGCGGCCGAUGUCAGAUUAGGUAGUUGGUGGGGUAAAGGCCUACCAAGCCGACGAUCUGUAGCUGGUCUGAGAGGACGACAGGCCACACUGGGACUGAGACACGGCCCAGACUCCUACGGGAGGCAGCAGUGGGGAAUUUUGGACAAUGGGCGCAAGCCUGAUCCAGCAAUGCCGCGUGCGGGAAGAAGGCCUUCGGGUUGUAAACCGCUUUUGUACGGAGCGAAAAGGCUCUGGCUAAUACCUGGGGCUGAUGACGGUACCGUAAGAAUAAGCACCGGCUAACUACGUG
RNAcentral lists this ribosomal RNA (492 nucleotides) under uncultured bacterium. Its description in RNAcentral is "partial 16S ribosomal RNA". It matches the Rfam family "Bacterial small subunit ribosomal RNA", at positions 30 to 507 of the family's 1533-position model. The record is from RNAcentral.